Non-coding RNA from Callorhinus ursinus (northern fur seal), 934 nucleotides. Lineage: Eukaryota; Metazoa; Chordata; Mammalia; Carnivora; Otariidae. The record is from RefSeq and is a predicted model, not a curated record.
CACUUUACCAAAGUACACACAGGUACUUAAUUUCUUAGAACCUGCACUGUGUGGGAGUUUUGCUUGAGACAGAAAGUAUUUUCAUCACCACUGCCCUCUAUCUGUGUAGCACUUAAAGUGUUAUAUAUAUUACAACCUGAUCUCCCUGUUAGAUAGGGAUUACCACUUAAUUUUUAUGGAUCAUGAAAACCUUGUUACUUAACAAGUAGAAGGAGCAAUGAUUUAAACUCAUCUUGGGAUGCCAUCAUGCAGUUCAAAACUAUGACUUCAAUAUAAUAAUGAGAACCAGUUUUUAAAAAAUUAUGUAAAAGCUUGUUCAAAGAUAAUACAUAUUAUACCAAGUAAUACCUGUGUAACUUACAGUAGGAAAAGGAAGUCUGUGGUCUCCUUGAGUCCAUGUGGUUAAAGAGGUAUUUGAUCUUUCAGAGAACAAUGGACUAGAUAUUCUAAGUUACAUUUUAUAGUAGGUAUAUAUCCUUUCACUUGUAUUUGUAUUUGGGUAUUAGAAGUAAUCCAAUUAAGAAGGAUGACCUUUCUAUUAACUCCAACCUCCUCUGUAAAUCUCUUCUACAAUUAUUUUUUAGAAGAGGAGCUUUAUGGCCCAGUAAAUUUUAGCACAUUUAAUUCAGAUGUGAUUCUACAACAAUAAUAAAAAACACCAAAAUGUUGACUACUCUCUCUUUACAGUGUAAACCUAACAAUGCCAAGUUUUAUCCUUUAUGAUGAUCACAGUCCAUGGCGUGCCUCCUCCAGGACUGAAACUUUCCUCUUUCAAAUACCUUCCAUCUCAUAAGCCUUAAUAUCUAAUAUCUAGUUCCUAAAUCAGAACUGUAUCAUCAUCUUACUUCCUCACUAUGGGAGGACAGCAGUUGCUUUUUCAUCCCUUAAGGAAAGGCCCAGGGGUGGGGCACCUGGGUGGGUCAGUAGGCUGAGU